Molecule: long non-coding RNA, 1014 nt
Organism: Cyprinus carpio carpio
Lineage: Eukaryota; Metazoa; Chordata; Actinopteri; Cypriniformes; Cyprinidae
Source: Ensembl
AUUUUAUUUAUAUAAUAGACGUAGUAUUAUGUACUGUAUAGAUACAUUUUUUAAUUCUGUAUAUAUAUAUGACAGAUCAUAGUCCUUAAACAGUUAUAUUGUUAUAAAGUUUUAUUUUACAUAUAGGAUCCCUACUAGACAUUUACUGGACCCAUCUGUAUUCUGCCAACAAAGCAACAGAAACAAGUUUUGCCGUAGCAAGCAGCAGUCAGCGUUUAAAAAUUCUCCUCCUUUAUGACUUAGCAGGGAGUUUGCCCUGCACAUCCCUUAAUCCACAAAUGUACAAGUCAUGUUCGUUCCAUCCAGUGAACUCCCCUUACAGUCGGAGAAACUCGAUGAGUCAUGGCGAGGGAUUCCCUACCCCUCUUCUCUGGGCAAGAAGAAUGGAGUGUUUCUAGGAAGGAAUGCUGAUUGGGGCCCUUGGCGAGGGGGUAUGCUAAUGCAUUUGUAACACUGUGGCCUCGUGCUUGUGGCGCGCUUCACACUGUGCAGCCAGGAAAUCAUCGGGACAAUUUGACAAAGAAUGUCUAGUAUUUUAGACUAAUCAUCUGUGAGGUAUUUUAGCCAAUCUGAACCACAUGGUCCUCUAUUACAGCUGCUCUUAAAAUAGUCAUCACGUCGCAUUUCCAGUAAGGCUUAGUCGCUUUUCAGGUGUCACAGCAAUAAAUUCAUGUCCAUUUGAAGUGGACACUCACAGUGUAAAACCUUUGCUUAAAUACAAAGUGUAUAUACAAGGACAUAAACAGUGCAGCGGUCUAGUCAGUAGUCAUUUCGCAUACACUUUACACACAGUACACUUAUUAAAGGAGCAACCUGGGGUUUACUGCCCCGCUCAUGAUAACAGCUUGUGGAUCACCCCUUGCAGAGCUCAAACCUACAACCAGCCCACACUCUUAAAAAUAAAGGUGCUUCAAAAGGAUCUUCACAGUGAUGCCAUAGAAGAACCAUUUUUGGUUCCACAAAGAACCAUUCAGUCAAAGGUUUUUAAAGAACCAUUUCUUUUUUUACCUUUUU